UACAGAGGUCUCAAGCGUUGUUCGGAUUCAUUGGGCGUAAAGGGUGCGUAGGCGGCGCGGUAAGUCGGGUGUGAAAUCUCGGGGCUUAACUCCGAAACUGCAUUCGAUACUGCCGUGCUUGAGGACUGGAGAGGAGACUGGAAUUUACGGUGUAGCGGUGAAAUGCGUAGAGAUCGGGAGGAACACCAGUGGCGAAGGCGGCCUUCUGGACCAGUACUGACGCUGAGGCACGAAAGCGUGGGGAGCAAACAGG
Molecule: ribosomal RNA, 253 nt
Filed under: uncultured bacterium
Lineage: Bacteria
Description: partial 16S ribosomal RNA
Rfam family: Bacterial small subunit ribosomal RNA
Source: RNAcentral